This 425-nucleotide ribosomal RNA is filed under the name uncultured prokaryote. RNAcentral's name for it is "bacterial SSU rRNA". It matches the Rfam family "Bacterial small subunit ribosomal RNA", at positions 355 to 796 of the family's 1533-position model. The record is from RNAcentral.
UGGGGAAUCUUGCACAAUGGGGGCAACCCUGAUCCAGCGACGCCGCGUGGGUGACGAAGGCCUUCGGGUUGUAAAGCCCUUUCGCCGGGGACGAUGAUGACGGUACCCGGUAAAGAAGCACCGGCUAACUCCGUGCCAGCAGCCGCGGUAAGACGGAGGGUGCUAGCGUUGUUCGGAAUCACUGGGCGUAAAGGGCGCGUAGGCGGCCCUUGUCGUCGGCUCGUGAAAGCCCGGGGCUCAACCCCGGUACGGCGGCCGAUACGCAGGGGCAGGAGGCCGGAAGAGGAGGGUGGAAUACCCAGUGUAGAGGUGAAAUUCGUAGAUAUUGGGUGGAACACAGGUGGCGAAAGCGGCUCUCUGGUCCGGACCUGACGCUGAGGCGCGAAAGCGUGGGGAGCAAACAGGAUUAGAUGCCCCCGUAGUCC